Lonchura striata (white-rumped munia) is the source of this 270-nucleotide non-coding RNA. The record is from RefSeq and is a predicted model, not a curated record. Lineage: Eukaryota; Metazoa; Chordata; Aves; Passeriformes; Estrildidae.
AUGUUUAUGAACUUAUGCAGCUCCUUCAACUUGAGAAAGAUUGAGAAGUAUUUCCUACAGUAACAAAAGUGGCAAAAAUAGCUGCAACUGCUACAGCUUGCUUCCUUCAGAGAAAAGAGAAAAAUAACAGAUUUCAAGGAAGGAACAGCACCAAGGAAAAGAAGGAAGACAAUAAAGAAAUUUUUGCCAGAAAAUCCCUCUCAUUAUUGAUGUUGAGAACACAAUGCCAUUCUAUCCAUCAUCAGCUAUUGGAUCCAACUGAAUCUAAUG